UACGGAAGGGGCGAGCGUUGUUCGGAAUCAUUGGGCGUAAAGGGCGCGUAGGUGGUUCUGUAUGUCUACCGUGAAAGCGUACGGCUCAACCGUAUUUUGUCGGUAGAAACUGCAGGACUUGAGGCUGGGAGGGGCUGGUGGAAUUCCCUGUGUAGCGGUGAAAUGCGUAGAGAUGGGGGAGAACACUCGUGGCGAAGGCGGCCAGCUAGACCAGUUCUGACACUGAGGCGCGAGAGCGUGGGGAGCAAACAGG
Molecule: ribosomal RNA, 253 nt
Filed under: uncultured bacterium
Lineage: Bacteria
Description: partial 16S ribosomal RNA
Rfam family: Bacterial small subunit ribosomal RNA
Source: RNAcentral